This is a long non-coding RNA of Alligator mississippiensis (American alligator), 1443 nucleotides long. RefSeq lists it as uncharacterized. The record is from RefSeq and is a predicted model, not a curated record. The transcript is spliced from 2 exons. NCBI's taxonomy places the organism in Eukaryota, Metazoa, Chordata, Crocodylia, Alligatoridae.
CAUUAGCCAUGCGGUCAUCCAGGUGAAUCUGAACCUGGCUCUCUCCUCAUCACCGUAUGCUCCAAAAGUGCCCUGCCUCCAGAGGAAACAACAACCACCUCUGGAUGAUGUGUGUUGUGCCUUGAUGAACUAAAUGCAGAAACAAAGCAAGAGCUGGAGGCUGUGAAAGGAAUGAAGCCUGGUCUGGUCAUAAAGGAAUUGGGAAUGGACCUGUUGAGGAAAGAUACAGAUUGGUAAAUCCUCCUGCACCAGCUGCCCUGCCAGUAGCUGGAGGAGAAGGGGAGGAGCGGGGACCACCUGGCAUUCAAGCUGGGCACCGUCAUUGCCAGACACUCAAGCAGCAGUGCACAGCCUGUGUGGUAAGACUUGGGUGAAGAUGGUCAAGGCCAAUCUCCUGUGAGUGGGAGAGACACAUAAGUAGGUGGGUUUGCUCCGUAUUUGAUCAGACCCUGGUGGGGUUUGCUUUUGGGGGUAGGGGAGGUGUAACAGCCAGAACCAGAGGAAUUAAUAAGCAAUAAAAUAUGUGCUUCUUGGAGGCAUUUGGUAUUUUGCCUAAACAGGUCAUAUUAGUUCAUAACAGCUUGUAAGUUUGUAAACUGCAAAUGUAACUUGUCUGUCAUAAGUUUAACCAAACUGAUAAAUAAACUGUUAGUGGAACUGACUGGGCCCCAGAGGCAAAGCUGUAGCUGUGAGAUUAGCUGGCCUAAUGGUUUUUUGCUCAGGGUUCAGCCUUAGUGAUAAAAACUGGAUCUAACUACUCGACACAUCCAACACGCUCAGGAAAGCAUAUCCCAAGAAAGCAUAUUCAACUGAAGCCUAGAAAGGGUCGAAAUUUAGGCGGAGCAAUGUCAAUUUCAAAUCUAAAGGUGCUGCCUCAUAAUUUGUGUAUUGGAUAAACCCGAGUCUGGGUAGUAAUCUUUUAUGAUCAUUUUAACACCUUUCAAUCCCAUAGGGUAGCAGCUAUAGGGCAACAUUGUGAGUGGCCUUGAGGCCAACAGAUUAACAUAAGACUAGGUAUAAAAAGCACGUACAUCAGGUGACCAGCAGGAAGAAGGGAACACAACGGUCAUUUCUGUUCCACGCCCGGACCCCGGACUCCUGGUGUGAGUGAGGAUUGGAUCCUGAUCAAGGGAACUUCCCCGGUAAUCCCUCUGACAGCGUCGAACGGGGACGCCUGACUUCGCUGGAAUCACUUGGCGCACACCUGGCAUUGAGGGACUAUCGAUAAGUUGCCAACCCAUGUGUGUCUAUCUGUUGUUUUGAACAGCCCUGUGUGGCUAAUACCCUUGCAGUGCCCAGUUGGCCUGUGACAGAUUGAUCUGUCUAUCUGUUGUUAUUAUUUACUAUUAGCUCUUUUAUACUGCAUUAUCUGCUUAUCGCAUUUAUCUUUCUGUUAUCUGCUGUGUGUGUGUAAGCUAUAAUAAAUUUGCCUUUAUUUCACUC